AGUGAUUUUUAUUAAAUUGCCGCAGUAUUUUGACUGUGCAAAGGUAGCAUAAUAAAUUGUCUUUUAAUUGAAGGCUGGAAUGAAUGAUGGGAUGUGAUGGAAGCUGUCUUUAUAGUGAUUGAUUGAAAUUUACUUUUUGAUGAGAAGGUUAAAAUUUAAUUGGUAGACGAGAAGACCCUAUUAAGCUUUAUUUUAGUUAAAAUCUUGAUUUAUUAGGAUUGGUGGUUGGAUUAUUAGUUAAAAUUUUGUUGGGGCAACAUUUGAAUAAUGUGAAAUUUUUGUAAAAUUGUGUAGAGAUUGAUCCGUUAUUAGUGAUUUUUGGAAUAAGUUACUAUAGGGAUAACAGCGUGAUUAAUUUGGAGAGUUCAUAUUGGUAAAUUAGAUUGCGACCUCGAUGUUGGUUUAAUGAUUCUGUAAGGUGCAGUAGCUUUAUAAGAA
Molecule: ribosomal RNA, 438 nt
Filed under: Eremochelis bilobatus
Lineage: Eukaryota; Metazoa; Arthropoda; Arachnida; Solifugae; Eremobatidae
Description: partial 16S ribosomal RNA
Rfam family: Bacterial large subunit ribosomal RNA
Source: RNAcentral